This is an RNA transcript of Cydia strobilella, 1273 nucleotides long. RefSeq lists it as uncharacterized. The transcript is spliced from 5 exons. Lineage: Eukaryota; Metazoa; Arthropoda; Insecta; Lepidoptera; Tortricidae. The record is from RefSeq and is a predicted model, not a curated record.
ACAAACAUGUCUUGUGGGUGCUUUACUAUAUUAAGUUAUUUCAAAUUGAGUUGACUUUACUCUUGAACUGUUACUUUAUAAAACUUAUAAUUCGUGCCAUAUAUAUUAUAACUGACUAAAGAUAGGACGGCUAUGCACAAAAUGUCCGUCGACGACGGUGCAGAGCUGCUGCGGUCUCCGGAACCUGAGGGCAGCCAGCUUAAUGAUAGGAUUUUUCAAAGUGUUGCUGUUCCUUGCAGCAAUAAUAGGCUUAAUAUCAAUAAUGAGCGGCCAACACACGGGCGGAGCUAACGGAGAGAUAGCUCAGAAACCUACAGCCCAGCUGAUCCUAGCUCUACCUAGAGUAUAGGAUUCCUGUUCCUGGCUGUUGGGCUGAUCGCUGGAUUGUUUAAGAAACGGCGGAACUACGUGAUGAUCUACUGGGUGGCGAACUGGGUGUGGAUUGCGCUGAGUCUGAUAGGACUUUUUACACAGUCGCAGGGCGUGCUACGGUGGAUCAUAGUCUUCUGGUACGCUGUGGCUGACAUCUACUUUCAAAUCGUGAUACGGAGUUACUACUUGGAGAUGACGGGCGCCGUGGCGCACCUACCGCAGUAUAACGCGCCGGGGAUCGCUCGAUUUUAACUUAGCUGCAGGUUAUUACGCUGAUGCGAGACAGCGCUAUGCACGUAUAUAACGACGUCCCGCUCGCACAUCUAAACUACUACCUGGAGAUGACAGGGGCCGUGGCUGCGCCUGCGCAUCCACCGCAGUAUAACGCGCCGGAGAUCGCUCUAUAUUAAAGGCUUAGCUGCAAGUUAUCACCCUGAUGCGAGACAGCGCCAUGAACGUAUAUAACGACGUCCCGCUCGCACAUCGAAACUAUUACCUGGAGAAGAUAGGGGCCGUGGCUGCGCCUGCGCACCUACCGCAGCAUAACGCGCUGGGGAUCGCUCGAUAUUAGGGUGAAACACAUAAAGGCUCACUUCUGUGGACAAUACAAUAAAUGUUAACGUUUCUGGUACAGUCAAAGAAUUUAAUUUCAGUACCGAUUUCGUACAAUCGAGGACAUUGGCAGUGAACCACCUUAAGGGCAAAAAUCGUUUAAACGUCUUACAGACGGUCAGGUGAUCAUAAAAUGGGUGACCAAUAGCAGGGCUCUUAAAAAUGUGGGUGUUGAAAAAAAGGAUAGCUCAGAUAAAGUUUAUUGCAGUCCAUUGUCUUGUGACGGUCGGCAUUUGCAAACUAAGAUAAAGAAUCCAAAAUGCAUCCUAAUUGGUUAUCUAUGGGGAAG